GGGUGGGGGACUUAGAGCGGCCCGUAGGGCCCCCGUGAAGAAGUCCCCUGCCGCGGGGUUGCACA
RNAcentral lists this small nucleolar RNA (65 nucleotides) under Pyrobaculum aerophilum str. IM2. RNAcentral describes it as "Pyrobaculum sRNA 207". It matches the Rfam family "Pyrobaculum sRNA 207". From Rfam's summary of the family: Non canonical pseudouridylation guide sRNA features. Predicted to target 23S U2597 in Pyrobaculum. The record is from Rfam by way of RNAcentral. Lineage: Archaea; Thermoproteati; Thermoproteota; Thermoprotei; Thermoproteales; Thermoproteaceae.